Molecule: long non-coding RNA, 1015 nt
Organism: Chinchilla lanigera (long-tailed chinchilla)
Lineage: Eukaryota; Metazoa; Chordata; Mammalia; Rodentia; Chinchillidae
Source: Ensembl
CUCUGAGGAACACCAGGGCCCAAGAGAUAGAAGAGAGGAAUCUUACCAGCAUCACCCUGUAGCCAAGGGCAACAGGGUAACCACAGUGACUGCUACGGAAGAGCCUGGAGGAGCUGCCUGUGCAACAGGUACCACCCUGAAUCUCACAGGUCUCUAGGGAUGGAGAGGACUCCUCCAACACUGCUCAGACAGGGCUUCUUGCCGCUCUGGUGAGGGACUCUCAGAGCGACACUGAAUUUGAAUGAAUUAAUAGCCACUCUGGAGCACAACACACUGUGGCUACAUCCAUCUGUGCUCCGGACAUGUAGGAAAUGAUCCAAACUUCUCUGUCAUAAUUGCUGCAGAUACUCUCCCCGGUUGGUGGCUUGUUUUUCAGUGUUAUUUGUGCUGGAAGAAGUCUGACACAGGCUUAGAAAGCCCUCCUCCUCCAGAAGCCUGAAAAGGAUUCUAUUUCGUUUUACUUUUGCUACAGCAUGAGACUGAACAAGUUGCUUCUCCAAUACAUUGGUAAUUUCUUUUGGUGCAUAGAAAUGAGACACACGAUGUUUUUUCCUGGCUUAUUCCUUCGUACCUGGGUUAACUCAGAUCCAUUACUAUUUUGUCCAUCUGACUUAGUAAUCCACUACCUCAACAGCCUCCUCAGCUGCUAACCUCCACCUGAAGUCAUCCAAAUUCAGCCCUCAUCUCCCACACAACUGAGGUUCAGGUGCUGCAAAGCUUGACUUUCCUUCUAUGCUUAUAUGAUUGUGCUGCUUUAGUUUGGAUGCAGUUUAGACCCAAUCAGAGAGCACAGAAUUUGGUGAGGGAGAGCUACUUUCAAUGCCAAAUGGAGACAGAACAUAAAUCAAAAAGUUAUCAUCGAAAGGUUUCUGUGGAUGCUGGAGAAAGACCAAACCUAAAGGUGACCUGCGGAGUUUGACUGGGAGUAGAAGAUAAAAAUUACUUUGUUUAAUUUUCAAAGUUCACUGGUUUAGGAGAAAAGCAUGUUAAAAGGGUACUGUGGAAUGCAUUAAAA